RNAcentral lists this ribosomal RNA (253 nucleotides) under uncultured bacterium. Its description in RNAcentral is "partial 16S ribosomal RNA". It matches the Rfam family "Bacterial small subunit ribosomal RNA", at positions 524 to 776 of the family's 1533-position model. The record is from RNAcentral.
UACGUAGGGUGCGAGCGUUGUCCGGAAUUAUUGGGCGUAAAGAGCUCGUAGGCGGUUUGUCGCGUCGACUGUGAAAACCUACAGCUUAACUGUGGGCUUGCAGUCGAUACGGGCAGACUUGAGUUCGGUAGGGGAGACUGGAAUUCCUGGUGUAGCGGUGAAAUGCGCAGAUAUCAGGAGGAACACCGGUGGCGAAGGCGGGUCUCUGGGCCGUUACUGACGCUGAGGAGCGAAAGCGUGGGGAGCGAACAGG